Molecule: ribosomal RNA, 279 nt
Filed under: uncultured bacterium
Lineage: Bacteria
Description: partial 16S ribosomal RNA
Rfam family: Bacterial small subunit ribosomal RNA
Source: RNAcentral
UGCCAGCAGCCGCGGUAAUACGAAGGGUGCUAGCGUUGUUCGGAAUUACUGGGCGUAAAGCGCGCGUAGGCGGCUAAAUCAGUCGGGUGUGAAAGCCCUGGGCUCGACCUGGGAACUGCAUUCGAUACUGUUUGGCUUGAGUAUGGGAGAGGGUAGUGGAAUUCCACGUGUAGCGGUGAAAUGCGUAGAUAUGUGGAGGAACACCAGUGGCGAAGGCGACUGCCUGGCCCAAUACUGACGCUGAGGUGCGAAAGCGUGGGGAGCAAACAGGAUUAGAUA